GCGGAAAACAAAAGGAAGGAGCAGCAGCUGGUAGCACCCAGGGCGGUGCAAUUAAACAAGAAAAUGUCCGCUGUUUUAAUUGCUUCGCGUACGGGCAUUUCCAAAGCGCCUGUACGGCACCCAGACGCCAUCCAAAUGCUUGCUUUGUGUGCAAUGAAGUAGGGCACACUCGAUUCGAUUGCCCGGAAAAGAAGACCAGAGGAGUAGCGGCGGCCGUGACAGCAGUAGAAGCAGCAGACGAAAAUCUGGAAGAUCGUCUAGUACGUAGAGUAGUGGAGCAACUUACUGCAAAAAAUUGGUCCGGUUAGCUUUGUGCGGAAGUCCUGUGUGCCUUCUGGCUUUAUUAAUAAA
This is a long non-coding RNA of Rhagoletis pomonella (apple maggot), 351 nucleotides long. RefSeq lists it as uncharacterized. NCBI's taxonomy places the organism in Eukaryota, Metazoa, Arthropoda, Insecta, Diptera, Tephritidae. The transcript is spliced from 2 exons. The record is from RefSeq and is a predicted model, not a curated record.